Molecule: ribosomal RNA, 490 nt
Filed under: uncultured bacterium
Lineage: Bacteria
Description: bacterial SSU rRNA
Rfam family: Bacterial small subunit ribosomal RNA
Source: RNAcentral
GAUCAUGGCUCAGGACGACGCUGGCGGCGUGCUUAACACAUGCAAGUCGAACGAAGCAAGGGGCUUGCCCCUUGACUUAGUGGCGGACGGGUGAGUAACGCGUGAGCAACCUGCCUCUAUCAGGGGAAUAACACAGAGAAAUUUGUGCUAAUACCGCAUAUUAUCCUAAAACGGCAUCGUUUUUUGGAUGAAAGAUUUAUCGGAUAGAGAUGGGCUCGCGUCCCAUUAGAUAGUUGGUGAGGUAACGGCCCACCAAGUCGACGAUGGGUAGCCGACCUGAGAGGGUGAUCGGCCACAUUGGAACUGAGAACGGUCCAGACUCCUACGGGAGGCAGCAGUGAGGAAUAUUGGGCAAUGGAGGCAACUCUGAACCCCCAGCAACGCCGCGUGAAUGAUGAAGGCCUUCGGGUUGUAAAGUUCUGUGAUGGGGAACGAAGAAAGUGACGGUACCCCAAGAGCAAGCCACGGCUAACUACGUGCCAGCCGCCGC